GGGAAUUGUAAAAUUCCACGUACAGACCAUGACUUGUGAGAUGACUGUGAGGAGUGAAGAUCAGCCCAUGAACAUGGACAGAAAAUUCUCCAACCAAGGUCACAGCAUGAAUUGACCUGGGCUGCCUUUCAGCAUGCUUGAGACCGGGGAGUGUGACAACCCAGUCUGCCCAGUGAUGGAAAGUUAGAAACUGGAAAUGUACCUGGAUGCCACCCUGAGUCAGCCCAAACCGAAGCAUCUCUACAAAACACCUAGAUGUGAACAAACUGCCGUCCUCUGACAAAAAUAUUCCGUCUGAGAAUUUCUGACCAGCUGCGGCGGUAAACACCUCCAGGGUGUCCUUUUUGUCUGAUACAGGGCAAAAAUUAUUCGGGUGC
Molecule: long non-coding RNA, 377 nt
Filed under: Zonotrichia albicollis (white-throated sparrow)
Lineage: Eukaryota; Metazoa; Chordata; Aves; Passeriformes; Passerellidae
Description: lncRNA (ENSZALG00000006068.1)
Source: RNAcentral